AUGGCAGCUGCUCCUUCUGCCUCUGCCGUUUCCGUCAGGCAGAGGACUGCCGCGGCAGCAUCGCCGCUGCUCCAGGAUCAGCAGCAAGAAAAGCAUGAAGCUGUUGAUCCGGUGCCACCGCCGCCGCCGCGAUCGACGCUGUACCAGGCGCUGACGUCGACGGCGAGCCUGGCCAACCUGCUCCCCACGGGCACGGUGCUGGCUUUCCAGCUGCUCGCGCCGACCUUCACCAACCACGGCGCCUGCGACGCCACCACGGCGCUGCUCACGCGGAUCCUCCUCGCCGUCCUCGCGCUCUCCUGCCUCCUCGCCUCCUUCACCGACUCCCUCAAGGGCCCCGACGGCCGCGUCUACUACGGCGUCGCCACCCUCAGGGGCCUCUGGCUGCUCGACUACCCGCCCGGCGCGCCCACGCCGCCGGACACGUCCAGGUACAGGCUGGCACCAAUCGACGCCGUGCACGCGGCGCUGUCGGUGGCCGUGUUCGGGGUGGUGGCGGCCAGAGACAAGAACGUUGUGCGGUGCUUCUACGGCCCGUCGCCGGCGAGAGAGACGGAGCAGGUGCUGGACAUCGUGCCGCUCGGCGUCGGCGUGCUCUGCAGCUUGCUCUUCGUCGCGUUCCCCACCAGGCGGCACGGCAUCGGCUACCCUGUCACCAACGGCGCCGCUGGCAGCAGCACCUGA
This 684-nucleotide ribosomal RNA is filed under the name Triticum aestivum (bread wheat). Its description in RNAcentral is "partial small subunit ribosomal RNA". Lineage: Eukaryota; Viridiplantae; Streptophyta; Magnoliopsida; Poales; Poaceae. The record is from RNAcentral.